This is a non-coding RNA of Acanthosepion pharaonis, 115 nucleotides long. The record is from the annotation of a GenBank genome assembly. NCBI's taxonomy places the organism in Eukaryota, Metazoa, Mollusca, Cephalopoda, Sepiida, Sepiidae.
UUACGGUCAAAUCACGCUGAAAACACCGGUUCUCGUUCGAUCCCCGAAGUUAAGCAUCGUAGAGCCAGGUCAGUACUUAGAUGGGGGACCGCUUGGGAACACCUGGUACUGUAAG